UUUAUUUUUAAGUUUAUACCUUACAAGUUGCAUAUAUGAUAUGAUAUGAUAUGAUGAUAUGACAUGAUAGGGGGAGGAGAGAAAAUUACAAUAAAAAAAGUACAGGAGAACAAAACCUUCUCUCCCCUUGGACAUUUCCGUAUAAUUUACAAAGCAAAUUCCUCAGGUCAGAGUCUCAUCCAUGGGGAUUUUCCACUUUCCCACUCCUGAGGAGCACAGAGGCAAUUGCACAUCAGUACACACUGACCCCCACAGAGAACAGAACUGUCAGAUAAGAUUGCUUUCAUUCCCCUCAAGCUCCCACAAAGGUACUCAGCGCACAGACCAGUGUUUGUAUUACACUGUGAAGGGAAAGAUUCCAGCCAAAAGAAGCUGGCAGCCAUGGCUUUUUAAUGAACCGUGUGCUGACAGGCCUGGUUGUGAGCUGUUACAGAUGUGCACUGGAUAGUCUAAUGAGAUGCAGGAAAUUCAAGAGGCAAAAAAACCUCUUCAGAUUUUCUGGUGAUGGUGGUAGGAUCAAAACCUCUUAUCUUUUAUCUGGCAUCGCCAAGCAAGGGGUUAUGCUUACUGUCCUUAAUAAAAACAUUACCAUUUGGGGUAGAGGCACUGGUGCAUGUUGAUUGCCAUAACAGGGAAUAAAAGAGGGGAUGAGUCACUAGCCAAGAAUGAAAACACAGGCAGGGCAGGAUCCUGCAGUGGCACAUUAAUUAUAGUAACAUUUUCUGUGAUUCCCCUGCUACGUAACCACAGAUGCCAGAGCACGAGUGGGGGCUGCAGUGAAAGGAGAUGGCCAGGAAGAAUGAUCUGGCAAGGAAGGGAAAACAAACCCUUAAUGAGGAAACAAAAACUCCAGAAAAAUUCUCCUUGCUGCAGAGUGGAGUUUCCAGCUGAUGCAUCUGGUGUGGAAGAGGCACCUUUUCUCAGUGCUUUAGCAGAGGAGUGCUCUGGUAUUUCUCUUAGAGCAUGAGUCAGAUGCAGGGGUUGCCAAAAAGCCAUGCCAAGUCCUGUUCUCAGUUACAUAUGCCCACAACAAUAUGGCACAUGAGCAGAUAGUAUCUCAGCACCAACUUGACAUUGAAGCAGCUGUGGGCUGCUCUGUGCAGUUCUGCGGCUUCUCCAUUUCACCUCUGUGCUCUCUCUGAAGUCUGAUUAGCAACUGGAUUGCAGAUGGUAUUACAAAUUGUCAAGCCUGCAAAUUCAACCAGAUCAAUGGUAAAGGUCUGUUUUUAGUGUUAUUUGACAGACAAAACUUAUUUAUAACUAUGUAACUGAUGAAGCACUAGACAGCAGAUGCCCCAGUUUACUUGCUCUUUUUUCAUAUGAACAGGCUUAGAUAUAAAAAAAAGCAUAGACAAGAAUCCAUGAAAUGAAACAGGACACAUAUACAGACCUUCUCCGUUUGCCAGAACUGUAAAGCUACAUAAGAUAUGCAACACUGACAUCUAUUGGUACGCAAACUGUGUACUGAUCCCUGUUUGUUUAUUCUGUGGCAAUAUUUUUAGCUGUGUUCGCAAUGCCUGAGGGUGUGUGCCGUGCUGUUGCGAUAGCACACUGCCAUCCUGGGGCACAGCUUUGUAAGCUGGCAGGGCUGCCCAGUAAAGAGCUUCUGGGAUAACUUGCCAUUAGGACACAGAAAUUUAGUCUCAACUAUGAAUGGCCUAUUCUCUUUGCACAAUAUGAACUGUGGCGACUCCAUGCUUCUGCAAUCCCUGCUCACAGUGUACCCCCUCUUUUUGGUGUGUAUUUUUCAGACACACCUGUGUAAACAUUUGUAGCAAAAAUAUUUUCCUGUGACGUUGCAUUGUGGGGGGAAACAGACUUUAAGAAUUUCUUCUCUCUUGAAAACCCAGUGGAUCCAAGGAUCAGAAAGUUAGAAGCAAACUGCUAGUAAAACUACUCCCUCUCUUUGGCUGUAAAGUCCUUGAGGCUCUGUGUAAGUCCAGCCCUAGGGAACUAUAGUGAUCUUCAACCUCCAGAUUUCCCAGCCCAUGAAGCAAUUGCCAAUUUAAGAAAGUUCUGGGUUAGUGUUUUUAGAUUACCUGAUUUGCCACACCCAUACGUUUAAAUGUGACAAAAUUUACACCACAGGAGUAACUUUUCUGAGGAAGAGUCACAGGGACUUUUGCAGUCAGCUCCUGUGCUCCAUCUAUUUGUCAAUAAGCCUAUGUGCUGAGAGGUUCACAGGUAUGUCAGCUGGGGAUAUCACUUGGCGUCCUAGCACAGUUUGCAUAAACAUACUCUGUAAAACAACAAUGUAGAGUGCUGUUGUGGUUUUAUUUGCUUCUAGAGGCAAAAUACAGAGUGGGAAGCCCAGGGUUUGACACAGUGCUCCUGACAUGCUCCCAGUUUCUGAAUAGAAAAUAAUCAUGUCCCUUCACCUGCUGACUGUACUCCUUCACCUUGUGCUGUUGCCUCUCUUUCCUGGAAGGGCACACUGCUCCUCAUGUCCACCAUGUUGUCCAGCAGGAUCCUCAGAUAUUAUAAAAUAAGGAAGACUGCUGACUCACUAGCGACAAGCUGAAAACUGGCAGUUAGACAGUCUCACUUAGGACAGUCAAAGCUCAAAGCCAUGGCCAAGAAACCUUACAAGUAUAAUAAAAAAUUAUAUGCAUAAAAAAUUUUUUUCUAUAUGACUGAAAUAUGUGCCUAUAUGUGUGUCUAAGCGUAUUUAAAUACAUAUACUCAGUGUAGAUAAGCCCAAAAUGUUUAUGUGAGUUCUUAAGCAAAACUAUAAUGACUGCUUCUUUUGAACGAAGCUACAUAUAGUCAUUAUUUCUAUUGCUGUUUUUCCUAUGCAAAUACUCUGUGCAAACGUUUCCAAAAUCAGUAUCCUAACUUCACCAGAACAUCUUACUUUAAUUCUCCUAUCAGCAAGAGUGAACGAGUUUUAUUGAUCAGUCUGUUAGAAAAAAAAGCCAAGUUAAGAUUAGUAUAAACCUAAAAAAAAUUUCCCCAAUACAUGUUGUACAUGAUCUGAAAAAGUCCUUUUCAUUUCCAUACUCAUUUCAUUUGGACUUCCUUUUUAAUAUGUCAUCUAAAUAUUGAUCUGUGGAAAACAAUUUCCAUAAAAGUACUAUAUAUAAAUGUCUAAUUUAAAUUGCAAGUUUCUCCAUUUUUUCUAAAGCAGCAAACAGCCAAAUCCUAUUACC
Pseudopipra pipra is the source of this 3149-nucleotide long non-coding RNA. RefSeq lists it as uncharacterized. The record is from RefSeq and is a predicted model, not a curated record. NCBI's taxonomy places the organism in Eukaryota, Metazoa, Chordata, Aves, Passeriformes, Pipridae. The transcript has 3 exons.